This 253-nucleotide ribosomal RNA is filed under the name uncultured bacterium. RNAcentral's name for it is "partial 16S ribosomal RNA". It matches the Rfam family "Bacterial small subunit ribosomal RNA", at positions 524 to 776 of the family's 1533-position model. The record is from RNAcentral.
UACAGAGGUCCCAAGCGUUGUUCGGAUUCACUGGGCGUAAAGGGUGCGUAGGCGGUCGGGUAAGUUUGAUGUGAAAUCUCUGGGCUUAACCCAGAAAUGGCAUUGAAUACUAUUCGGCUAGAGAGUCGGAGGGGGGACUGGAAUACUUGGUGUAGCAGUGAAAUGCGUAGAUAUCAAGUGGAACACCAGUGGCGAAGGCGAGUCCCUGGACAACACCUGACACUGAGGCACGAAAGCUAGGGGAGCAAACAGG